This 566-nucleotide ribosomal RNA is filed under the name bacterium T-1-0-6G. RNAcentral's name for it is "bacterial SSU rRNA". It matches the Rfam family "Bacterial small subunit ribosomal RNA", at positions 388 to 945 of the family's 1533-position model. The record is from RNAcentral.
GGAGCAACGCCGCGUGAGUGAUGAAGGUUUUCGGAUCGUAAAACUCUGUUGUAAGGGAAGAACAAGUGCGUUAGGUAAUGAACGCACCUUGACGGUACCUUAUUAGAAAGCCACGGCUAACUACGUGCCAGCAGCCGCGGUAAUACGUAGGUGGCAAGCGUUGUCCGGAUUUAUUGGGCGUAAAGCGCGCGCAGGUGGUUUCUUAAGUCUGAUGUGAAAGCCCACGGCUCAACCGUGGAGGGUCAUUGGAAACUGGGGAACUUGAGUGCAGAAGAGGAUAGUGGAAUUCCAAGUGUAGCGGUGAAAUGCGUAGAGAUUUGGAGGAACACCAGUGGCGAAGGCGACUGUCUGGUCUGUAACUGACACUGAGGCGCGAAAGCGUGGGGAGCAAACAGGAUUAGAUACCCUGGUAGUCCACGCCGUAAACGAUGAGUGCUAAGUGUUAGGGGGUUUCCGCCCCUUAGUGCUGCAGCUAACGCAUUAAGCACUCCGCCUGGGGAGUACGACCGCAAGGUNGAAACUCAAAGGAAUUGACGGGGGCCCGCACAAGCGGUGGAGCAUGUGGU